RNAcentral lists this long non-coding RNA (488 nucleotides) under Mytilus galloprovincialis (Mediterranean mussel). Lineage: Eukaryota; Metazoa; Mollusca; Bivalvia; Mytilida; Mytilidae. The record is from RNAcentral.
GAAAUACACAGACGAGAAUAUGCACUAAAAAAUAUAAUAUGUAUAUAUUUUGUUCAAGAUCUUCACAUGUACAUGUAUACCAUAUAUUAUAAUGAUGUAGGCUCAAUAUACAUUUCAUGAUAUACUUCCUGUAACAGUUAUAUACAUGUAUCUUUUGAUCCCCUUUGGAAAGGUUCGAACAGAUUUAUAAAAAUUUAUUAGAAUAAUUAUGUUUUGGUGCCCAGAUUUCAAAUUUUGGAACCUUUAUUUUUUGUUUGGGGGUGGGGACUGUUGAGGGUACAUGUAUGUGGACCCUUAUACCCUUGUAAAGGUAAACAAUCAAAUUGCAUGCUUAACCAAGAUCAUCCACUAAGACUAAAUUAUGUUAUAUGUAUACAUGUAUAUAUCCCCUUAAAUAUACAUAAUAUAUUGGUAUACAAAUAUUUGAAUCAGAAAAAAAGAGAAUAUAAUAAGAAAAAAAGAAUAAAAGAGAAAAAAAAUAAAGAAAA